GACGAACGCUGGCGGCGUGCUUAACACAUGCAAGUCGAACGGACAGACCCUGCUCUUGUGGGGUGCUCGAGUGGCGAACGGGUGAGUAACACGUGAGUAACCUGCCCUUGACUUUGGGAUAACUUCAGGAAACUCGGGCUAAUACAGGAUAGGAGCUCCUGCUGCAUGGUGGGGAUUGGAAAGUUUCGGCGGUUGGGGAUGGACUCGCUGCUUCUCAGCUUGUUGGUGGGGUAGUGGAUUACCAAGGCUUUGACGGGUAGCCGGCCUGAGAGGGUGACCGGCGACAUUGGGACUGAGAGACGGCCCAGACUCGUACGGGAGGCAGAAGGCGGGAAUAUGACGCAAUGGGCGGAAGCCUGAGACAGCAACGCCGCGUGCGUGAUGACGUCCUUCGGGGUGUAAACCGCUUUCGCCUGUGACGAAGCGUGAGUGACGGUAAUGGGUAAAGAAGCACCGGCUAACUACGUG
Molecule: ribosomal RNA, 468 nt
Filed under: uncultured bacterium
Lineage: Bacteria
Description: partial 16S ribosomal RNA
Rfam family: Bacterial small subunit ribosomal RNA
Source: RNAcentral